Pseudomyrmex gracilis is the source of this 1182-nucleotide long non-coding RNA. RefSeq lists it as uncharacterized. The record is from RefSeq and is a predicted model, not a curated record. Lineage: Eukaryota; Metazoa; Arthropoda; Insecta; Hymenoptera; Formicidae. The transcript has 3 exons.
AGCCGAACGUUUCGUUCGUUCAGUCUCAGACUUCGCGUCCGUCGUGACGGACUUCGUUUCUCGCGUUACGACACUUUGGUUCACGCUCGACCGAUCCUGAUGGAGCACCGUGGAUCCAGCAGGUGCGGUGCAGCGUCGUCGGAAUAAAAACAACGGAACACAAAGGGAACGGGACGAGAGAAACGAGGAAAAAAACAAUUUGUCGAACGAAAAUAAACGAAGGAUGGGCGGGAGACAUGCGCUCGCGACGCGAACAGCAACGACUCGAUCGCGAAGGUAGACGCUUCGAUAUUAAAUUUACAAUGUGAUAUUCCGCGUGCGCGUAUUUAUAUAUAUAUAUAUAUAUAUUUAUCGAACACACACAAGUACGUACUUCUCGAAUACUCGUUUAAAAAAGAAAUGAAAUAAUACGGUGAUACUCGCGCGCGAACGAACUCUUCGCGCGAUCGAGAGACUUGUCGAGAGAGUGAAACGACCAACGAGGAUUCGUGCAACUUCGUGUGUUGGUUCCGGAACGCCUUCCACGCGCGAAAACUGGUCUCUUCGAAAAAGUCGCGGCGUUCGAAAAACGCGCGCGCGAGCGCGCGCGUCGUUUUGAUCGACCGAAAGAGAAGAAGAGCGGCGAAUAUCCCCGCGCGCGUCAAAAAGCGUGAGAUUUUACUCGCGUGGACAAAAAAGUAAAAUUUAUAAAACCGGCUAGUGCGAAAUCGAGAGAAAGAAGCAAGAGAAGGAGAGAGAAACGAAAAGUGGAGGAUAGCAACACCCCUUUUUGGGAUGUCGACGUGCAAGAGCUGGAUUUUGUGGCCGGCGAGGACGCGUUUUCGACACUCGGCAAAAUCGCCGACGAUACACCGAAGCUGAGAUAUGAUCGAUCAGAUCGCCGAUUGAUCCUUUCGACGACUUCCCUUUCGGCGUGUGAUUUAUGCCACUUUCCUUCGCACUUGUCACACGAGAGUCGGCGAAUUCGCGAGAGAAAGAAAGGAAUUCUCUCCGUUACCGUUCAGUAUCUCGCGCGCGCGCGCGCGCACGAGCAUAAUCUGGAAUUAUUCUCGGAGGAUUCGGAAAAGGAGCAGCAGCCAUGGACUGGAGAGGGGUCGCACUGGCAUUCCUGAUGAUCACAAUAACGAGGCAAGGCGAUAGCGGCACACACGCGGCCCAGAUAUAUCAACAACCGCCGACGUG